UUCAAUGCUCACUUCUUUCAGCCCGUUGUACUGCGGCGGCACUGCCACAGGCAAACCCAGCUGGAGAGGAACUGAUGAGCCUGGAAACGAGGGGAUGAAGCACAGGCCCGACAUGGAGGAUGGAGAGGAGAGGUCUGUGUAUCUAACCUGGUGCUCGCGGCGGAACAGAGGGCGCCGUCCAUGCAGCACUGUGGCAGCGGCCGGCAGAAACCUGGUGGACGCUUUUGCCCUGCAGAGCCGUCACCAGUGUGGGUUCCCUCACAUGGUUUGUGUGGCCCAGACCAAGCUGACAACAAAGUCACCGUGAAUGAACAGCACAUUAUCCAGAUCCAGCAUGAGUCACUCACACUGACCUUUAGAAAUUUUAUAAUAAUAAUUCACUGAGUAAUGGUGAAGACCUUGUGACUCAAAUCAGAUUUGACUGGUUCAUUGUUCCUGUCAAGCUAAUAAAAAAUGAAUUAUUUCAUUGUUUCUAGUCGAUCUAUUUGAAUUUCUCUGAAAAUAUAUUUUUAUUUUUUAGCCUGUGACUAUUAUUACAGACAUUACCAUCUAAGUGCUGGUAAAUCCCACAGGACUGUUGUUUCAUUCAUUAGCAUCAGCUGCCUGACGGCCUGUGUUGGGGGUUAACUACUGUACCUGCCCCUCUGAGUUGCUGCCCCAGGUGUAGACGUCUCCUGUGGAGGACAGCACCAGACUGUGUUCAGCUCCGACAGCUACAUCCUCCACGUGAACGCCCAACAGCGCCGGCACCUGCUGGGGUCGGUUGUGGUUCCUGGCUCGGCCCUCUGGUAAACCAAUCAGGCGGUCUGCAACAGGAAGUCAGAAAAAGAUCCAGUAAAAGAUGAUGACGACGCGGCUGGUCGUACCUGAGGUGAAGACUUGGCUGUGGAAUUGCCCAGACCCAGUUUACCGUAGUCUCCGUCACCAAAAGCCCAAACGGUCAUUCCAUCAGCAGAGACGACCAAAGUGUGGUUCAGCC
Molecule: long non-coding RNA, 979 nt
Organism: Betta splendens (Siamese fighting fish)
Lineage: Eukaryota; Metazoa; Chordata; Actinopteri; Anabantiformes; Osphronemidae
Exons: 3
Source: RefSeq, a predicted model, not a curated record